RNAcentral lists this ribosomal RNA (253 nucleotides) under uncultured bacterium. RNAcentral's name for it is "partial 16S ribosomal RNA". It matches the Rfam family "Bacterial small subunit ribosomal RNA", at positions 524 to 776 of the family's 1533-position model. The record is from RNAcentral.
UACGAAGGGGGCUAGCGUUACUCGGAAUUAUUGGGCGUAAAGCGUGCGCAGGCGGUUUAGUAAGUUAGAAGUGAAAGCCUGAGGCUCAACCUCAGAAUUGCUUUUAAAACUGCUUCACUAGAGUGCUAGAGGGGAUAGCGGAAUUCUUAAUGUAGAGGUAAAAUUCAUAGAUAUUAGGAGGAACACCGGAAGCGAAGGCGGCUAUCUGGCUAGUAACUGACGCUGUUGCACGAAAGCGUGGGGAGCAAACAGG